CUGAUAGGUUUAUCAGGGGUUUCUCUUUUUACUUUUUCCUCAUUUUUUAAGAAGUGCCUUUUGCCUCCUGCCAUGAUUCUGAAGCCUCCCCAGCCAUAUGGAACUGUAAGUCCAAUUAAACCUCUUUUUGUUCCCAGUUUCAGGUAUGUCUUUAUCAGCAGUAUGAAAAUGGACUGAUACACAUGCCAUACCUAUAUUUCUGACUUACAAAAGCAUGAGCUAAUAAACAUGUGCUGUUUUAAACUGCUACGUUCAUGCUUCCUCUCAGUAUCUGAUGACAAUGAGAAAUGCAUUUGAAGAGAUAAACACUUCCCGAAAGACCAUCAUGAUAGGAGCUGAUACUCACAGAUGCCUUAGUGAAUGAUUACGUCUCAGGAUGCCAUAAGGAAUACACAGAAGGGUACAAUCUCAAGCCUGUGCCAAUGGAAAACUAUAAUGGCCAAAUAAAUUUUCC
RNAcentral lists this long non-coding RNA (454 nucleotides) under Homo sapiens (human). RNAcentral describes it as "HSALNT0205224". Lineage: Eukaryota; Metazoa; Chordata; Mammalia; Primates; Hominidae. The record is from RNAcentral.